CAUCACUGCUGAUUAUGACAGGCGUGCAGCGGCACACAUUGACAUAGACCACUGUUGCAAUCAACGACACAGUCGCUAUCCAAGUAGCAUUAUAGAGCUGUCAUGCAACGCAACAACUGUGCUAUCUGCCAUCGCACAUCAACGAAGAAGUGCAGCCGCCCACAUUCCACCUCACGUCUGUCCGACCAGCUGCAAUCCUCGAGGACGCCCCACUGUACCACGAUUUCACUACGAUGUUUGACAAGAAGGAGCAGCGCGCGAGAUAGGCUAAUGAGCAGACUUCCCUCGCUUGAGUUUCAGAAGAAUGUUCCAUAUCGCGCUAAGCUGACCACUGCUGACCAUGACAGGCGUGCAUUGGACUGGUACAGGUUGGAACUGAACAUUGAAUAUGCUGGUGGUGACGCUUUCUGAUGAGAAGUUGGUCGUGACUGAUGCAGUAUCCUUGGACUUGUCCACAGCAUCGUUCAAUCAUUGCUCUCUGAGCUGCCUUGAUUCUGCCUUGAUUCUGUACCCAAAUACUAAGACCAAAUGCCUGUUGACUGUGCUUUAAGAGAGACUGGCGCCAUGCCUAGAGAUAUGACUGACCCCUAUUGGCAAAUUUGUAUGACUUUAUCUUGCCUACCUAGCUGCUGCCUAUAGUCUCCCUUUAACUGCGGAACACUUCAAAGUCGAUAAAAUGCCAUGUUCCACCUUUUAAUGUGUUCAGACUGCCAUUUUCAAAAUAAUCAAGUCAGGACACUGCC
This is a long non-coding RNA of Lineus longissimus, 743 nucleotides long. RefSeq lists it as uncharacterized. NCBI's taxonomy places the organism in Eukaryota, Metazoa, Nemertea, Pilidiophora, Heteronemertea, Lineidae. The record is from RefSeq and is a predicted model, not a curated record. The transcript is spliced from 3 exons.